AUUGAACGCUGGCGGCAUGCCUUACACAUGCAAGUCGAACGGUAACGCGGGGGCAACCCUGGCGACGAGUGGCGAACGGGUGAGUAAUACAUCGGAACGUACCCAGUAGUGGGGGAUAGCUCGGCGAAAGCCGGAUUAAUACCGCAUACGACCUAUGGGUGAAAGCGGGGAUCGCAAGACCUCGCGCUAUUGGAGCGGCCGAUGUCGGAUUAGCUAGUUGGUGAGGUAAAGGCNCACCAAGGCUACGAUCCGUAGCUGGUCUGAGAGGACGACCAGCCACACUGGGACUGAGACACGGCCCAGACUCCUACGGGAGGCAGCAGUGGGGAAUUUUGGACAAUGGGCGAAAGCCUGAUCCAGCCAUGCCGCGUGUGUGAAGAAGGCCU
Molecule: ribosomal RNA, 386 nt
Filed under: uncultured bacterium
Lineage: Bacteria
Description: bacterial SSU rRNA
Rfam family: Bacterial small subunit ribosomal RNA
Source: RNAcentral